RNAcentral lists this long non-coding RNA (1027 nucleotides) under Phasianus colchicus (ring-necked pheasant). Its description in RNAcentral is "lncRNA (ENSPCLG00000013582.1)". The record is from RNAcentral. Lineage: Eukaryota; Metazoa; Chordata; Aves; Galliformes; Phasianidae.
GUUCUAUGGGGUUCUAGAAGGUUCUAUGGGAUUUUUAUGGGAUUUUAUGGGAUCUUAUGGGGUCUUAUGGGGUUUUAUGGGGUCUUAUGGGAUUCUAUGGUGUCUUAUGGGGUCUUAUGGGGCUCUAUGGGGUUUUAUGGGAUCCUAUGGGGUUUUAUGGGGUCUUAUGGGGUUCUAUGGGGUUCUGUUGGCUUCUAUGGGGUUCUAGAAGCUUCCAUGGGGUUUUAUGGGGUUUUUUAUGGGGUCUUAUGGGGUUUUAUGGGGUUCUAUGGGGUUCUAUGGGGUUCUAGAAGCUUCUAUGGGGUUUUUAUGGGGUCUUAUGGGGUUUUAUGGGAUUCUAUGGGGUUUUAUGCGGUUUUAUGGGGUUUUAUGGGGUUUUAUGGGGUCCUAUGGGAUCCUAUAGGGUUUUAUGGGGUUCUAUUGGAUUCUAUGGGGUUUUAUGGGGUCUUAUGGGGUCUUAUGGGGUUCUAUGGGGUAUUAUGGGGUUCUAGAAGCUUCUAUGGGGUUUUUAUAGGGUUUUAUGGGAUCCUAUGGGGUUGUAUGGGGUCUUAUGGGGUUUUAUGGGGUUUUUUGGGUUUUUAUGGGAUUUUAUGGGGUUCUAUGGGGUUCUAUGGGUUCUAUGGGGUUCUAGAAGGUUCUAUGGGGUUUUUAUGGGGUUUUAUGGGGUCUUAUGGGAUCCUAUGGGGUCUUAUGGNNNNNNNNNNNNNNNNNNNNNNAUUCUAUGGGGUUUUAUGGGGUUUUAUGGGAUUCUAUGGGGUUUUAUGGGGUCUUAUGGGGUUCUAUGGGGUUCUAUUGGAUUCUAUGGGGUUCUAUGGGGUUCCAGAAGCUUCUAUGGGGUUUUAUGGGGUUUUUUAUGGGGUCUUAUGGGGUUUUAUGGGGUUUUAUGGGAUUCUAUGGGGUUUUAUGGGAUCCUAUGGGGUCCUAUGGGAUUGUAUGGGGUUUUAUGGGGUCUUAUGGGAUCCUAUGGGGUCCUAUGGGGUUUUAUGGGGUUUUAUGCGGUCUUUUGGGGUUCUAUGGGAUCCUAUGG